AUUUAGUUAAGGUGUGUAAGGAUCAGGUGGAGCAGGGAGCUGAGUCAGAGCAGCAGGGCUUUCAGGGGAAGUGAGAGGCUCUCUUAUGAUCUUCUAUAAGGCUCUGACCAGAUUUCUCUCCAUUCCAGCAAGUAAUGGGUUGGAGAGUGAAGAGGAUGAAAGACCCACCGCGCAAAGUUUGUUCAGACGGAAAAAGAGAGAACAGAGAAGCAAAACCUGCAGCAAAAGAGAAGAACAAGGAGAGACCUUCUGCUUCCCAGCUGGGUGACAUCUAUAAAACCAGAAUCCAAAAAACAAGAGGGAAAGAAGUCCCUGCCCUGCAAGUAGGAAAAACUUCAGUUCUGAACCAAGCUUUCAGCCUCAGUGCAAAAUGGACACAGGGAAGCAACCAUAUAAAUGCUUGGAGUGUGGUUUAGUGGGAGUGACUACCUCAAUUUACAUCAAAUGACUCAUGCUGGAGAUAAACCUUUUAAAUGCUUGGAGUGUGGAAAGAGCUAAAGCAGGAGUGGAAAUCUUAAUUGGCAUCAAAGAACCCACACUGUGUAGAAACCAUAUACGUGCUCAGAGAGUGGAAAGAGCUUCAGCCAGAACGGGAAUCCUACUAAACCUCAAAGUACCCACAGUGGAAAUGGUGAAGAAAUGGGGAUUUCUGUUUUAGAAUUUCACUUGGAACCAUUUGCAACUUGAAGGAUUUCAAUUAAAACAUUAGCCAUUUAAUUGUC
Hemicordylus capensis (graceful crag lizard) is the source of this 722-nucleotide long non-coding RNA. RefSeq lists it as uncharacterized. Lineage: Eukaryota; Metazoa; Chordata; Lepidosauria; Squamata; Cordylidae. The transcript is spliced from 2 exons. The record is from RefSeq and is a predicted model, not a curated record.